This 468-nucleotide ribosomal RNA is filed under the name uncultured bacterium. RNAcentral describes it as "partial 16S ribosomal RNA". It matches the Rfam family "Bacterial small subunit ribosomal RNA", at positions 28 to 507 of the family's 1533-position model. The record is from RNAcentral.
GACGAACGCUGGCGGCGUGCUUAACACAUGCAAGUCGAACGGAAAGGCCCUGCUUUUGUGGGGUGCUCGAGUGGCGAACGGGUGAGUAACACGUGAGUAACCUGCCCUUGACUUUGGGAUAACUUCAGGAAACUGGGGCUAAUACCGGAUAGGAGCUCCUGCUGCAUGGUGGGGGUUGGAAAGUUUCGGCGGUUGGGGAUGGACUCGCGGCUUAUCAGCUUGUUGGUGGGGUAGUGGCUUACCAAGGCUUUGACGGGUAGCCGGCCUGAGAGGGUGACCGGCCACAUUGGGACUGGGAUGCGGCCCAGACUCCUACGGGAGGCAGCAGUGCGGAAUAUUGCACAAUGGGCGGGAGCCUGAUGCAACAACGCCGCGUGCGGGAUGACGGCCUUCGGGUUGUAAACCGCUUUCGCCUGUGACGAAGCGUGAGUGACGGUAAUGGGUAAAGAAGCACCGGCUAACUACGUG